UAGCUAGUUGGUGAGGUAAAGGCUUACCAAGGCGACGAUCUGUAGCGGGUCUGAGAGGAUGAUCCGCCACACUGGAACUGAGACACGGUCCAGACUCCUACGGGAGGCAGCAGUGGGGAAUUUUGGACAAUGGGGGCAACCCUGAUCCAGCCAUGCCGCGUGAGUGAAGAAGCCUUCGGGUUGUAAAGCUCUUUCGGCCGGGAAGAAAUCGCAUGGGCCAAUACCCUGUGUGGAUGACGGUACCGGAAUAAGAAGCACCGGCUAACUACGUGCCAGCAGCCGCGGUAAUACGUAGGGUGCGAGCGUUAAUCGGAAUUACUGGGCGUAAAGCGUGCGCAGGCGGUUUUGUAAGACAGGCGUGAAAUCCCCGGGCUUAACCUGGGAACUGCGUUUGUGACUGCAAGGCUAGAGUACGGCAGAGGGGGGUGGAAUUCCACGUGUAGCAGUGAAAUGCGUAGAGAUGUGGAGGAACACCAAUGGCGAAGGCAGCCCCCUGGGUCGAUACUGACGCUCAUGCACGAAAGCGUAGGUAGCAAACAGGAUUAGAUACCCUGGUAGUCCACGCCCUAAACUAUGUCAACUAGGUGUUGGGUGGGUAAAACCAUUUAGUACCGUAGCUAACGCGUGAAGUUGACCGCCUGGGGAGUACGGCCGCAAGGUUAAAACUCAAAGGAAUUGACGGGGACCGCACAAGCGGUGGAUGAUGUGGAUUAAUUCGAUGCAACGCGAAAAACCUUACCUACCCUUGACAUGCCAGGAACUUGCCAGAGAUGGCUUGGUGCCCGAAAGGGAGCCUGGACACAGGUGCUGCAUGGCUGUCGUCAGCUCGUGUCGUGAGAUGUUGGGUUAAGUCCCGCAACGAGCGCAACCCUUGUCGUUAAUUGCCAUCAUUUAGUUGGGCACUUUAACGAGACUGCCGGUGACAAACCGGAGGAAGGUGGGGAUGACGUCAAGUCCUCAUGGCCCUUAUGGGUAGGGCUUCACACGUCAUACAAUGGUCGGUACAAAGGGUUGCCAAGCCGCGAGGCGGAGCCAAUCCCAGAAAGCCGAUCGUAGUCCGGAUUGCAGGCUGCAACUCGCCUGCAUGAAGUCGGAAUCGCUAGUAAUCGUGGAUCAGCAUGUCACGGUGAAUACGUUCCCGGGUCUUGUACACACCGCCCGUCACACCAUGGGGGCGGGUUCCGCCAGAAGUAGGUAGCCUAACCGCAAGGGGGGCGCUUACCACGGCGGGGUUCGUGACUGGGGUGAAGUCGUAACAAGGUAGCCGUAGGGGAACCUGCGGCUG
This 1285-nucleotide ribosomal RNA is filed under the name metagenome. RNAcentral's name for it is "bacterial SSU rRNA". It matches the Rfam family "Bacterial small subunit ribosomal RNA", at positions 242 to 1520 of the family's 1533-position model. The record is from RNAcentral.